This 425-nucleotide ribosomal RNA is filed under the name uncultured bacterium. Its description in RNAcentral is "partial 16S ribosomal RNA". It matches the Rfam family "Bacterial small subunit ribosomal RNA", at positions 354 to 796 of the family's 1533-position model. The record is from RNAcentral.
GUGGGGAAUAUUGGACAAUGGGCGAAAGCCUGAUCCAGCCAUGCCGCGUGAGUGAUGAAGGCCUUAGGGUUGUAAAGCUCUUUCAGUAGGGAAGAUAAUGACGGUACCUACAGAAGAAGCCCCGGCUAACUUCGUGCCAGCAGCCGCGGUAAUACGAAGGGGGCUAGCGUUGUUCGGAUUUACUGGGCGUAAAGCGCACGUAGGCGGAUUGGUCAGUUAGAGGUGAAAUCCUGGAGCUCAACUCCAGAACUGCCUUUAAUACUGCCAGUCUAGAGUCCAGAAGAGGUGAGUGGAACUCCUAGUGUAGAGGUGGAAUUCGUAGAUAUUAGGAAGAACACCAGUGGCGAAGGCGGCUCACUGGUCCGGUACUGACGCUGAGGUGCGAAAGCGUGGGGAGCAAACAGGAUUAGAAACCCCAGUAGUCC